AAAUUGAAGAGUUUGAUCAUGGCUCAGAUUGAACGCUGGCGGCAGGCCUAACACAUGCAAGUCGAACGGUAACAGGAAGCAGCUUGCUGCUUCGCUGACGAGUGGCGGACGGGUGAGUAAUGUCUGGGAAACUGCCUGAUGGAGGGGGAUAACUACUGGAAACGGUAGCUAAUACCGCAUAAUGUCGCAAGACCAAAGAGGGGGACCUUCGGGCCUCUUGCCAUCGGAUGUGCCCAGAUGGGAUUAGCUAGUAGGUGGG
Molecule: ribosomal RNA, 259 nt
Filed under: Shigella sonnei
Lineage: Bacteria; Pseudomonadati; Pseudomonadota; Gammaproteobacteria; Enterobacterales; Enterobacteriaceae
Description: partial 16S ribosomal RNA
Rfam family: Bacterial small subunit ribosomal RNA
Source: RNAcentral